AGAUUGAACGCUGGCGGCAUGCCUUACACAUGCAAGUCGAACGGUAGAGUAGCAAUACUUGAGAGUGGCGAACGGGUGAGUAAUAUAUCGGAACGUGCCCAGUCGUGGGGGAUAACGUAGAGAAAUUUACGCUAAUACCGCAUACGAUCUAAGGAUGAAAGCGGGGGAUCGCAAGACCUCGCGCGAUUGGAGCGGCUGAUAUCAGAUUAGGUUGUUGGUGAGGUAAAAGCUCACCAAGCCGACGAUCUGUAGCUGGUUUGAGAGAACGACCAGCCACACUGGGACUGAGACACGGCCCAGACCUCCGUA
RNAcentral lists this ribosomal RNA (309 nucleotides) under uncultured soil bacterium. RNAcentral's name for it is "bacterial SSU rRNA". It matches the Rfam family "Bacterial small subunit ribosomal RNA", at positions 26 to 343 of the family's 1533-position model. The record is from RNAcentral.